Molecule: ribosomal RNA, 752 nt
Filed under: uncultured Pseudomonadota bacterium
Lineage: Bacteria; Pseudomonadati; Pseudomonadota
Description: bacterial SSU rRNA
Rfam family: Bacterial small subunit ribosomal RNA
Source: RNAcentral
AGGAGAGUUUGAUCCUGGCUCAGAACGAACGCUGGCGGCAGGCCUAAGUCAUGCAAGUUGAACGGCUGUAGCAAUACAGCAGUAGCGGACGGGUGAGUAAUGUAUGGGAACGUAUCUUCUAGUGGGGAAUAUUCUUUGGAAACGAAGAGCAAUACCGCAUAAGUCCUACGGGAGAAAGUCUUUAAGACGCUAGAUGAGCGGCCCAUAUUGGAUUAGCUAGUUGGUUGGGUAAUGGCUGACCAAGGCAACGAUCCAUAGCUGGUCUAAGAGGACGAUCAGCCACAUUGGGACUGAGACACGGCCCAGACUCCUACGGGAGGCAGCAGUCAGGAAUAUUGGACAAUGGGGGCAACCCUGAUCCAGCCAUGCCGCGUGAGUGUUAAGGUCUUCGGAUUGUAAAGCUCUUUUGUGUGGGAAAAUGAUGAUGGUACCACAAGAAUAAGCACCGGCUAACUUCGUGCCAGCAGCCGCGGUAAUACGAAGGGUGCAAGCGUUGUUCGGAAUUACUGGGCGUAAAGGGCGUGUAGGCGGACAGAUUAGUUGGGAGUGAAAUCCCGGGGCUCAACUCCGGAACUGCUUUCAAAACGGUUUGUCUAGAGUGUAGUAGGGGACAAUGGAAUACCCAGUGGAGAGGUUAAAUUCGUAGAGAUUGGGUAGAACACCAGAGGCGAAGGCGAUUGUCUGGACUAUUACUGACGCUGAGGCGCGAAAGCGUGGGGAUCAAACAGGAUUAGAUACCCUGGUAGUCCCCU